Long non-coding RNA from Bombus pascuorum, 576 nucleotides. RefSeq lists it as uncharacterized. The record is from RefSeq and is a predicted model, not a curated record. Lineage: Eukaryota; Metazoa; Arthropoda; Insecta; Hymenoptera; Apidae. The transcript is spliced from 2 exons.
UAUCUGCGCAUCAACGACUCUUUAAACCGGACGAAUUGCCAACACUGUUUCGUUGCAUCCGCUCACUUUCCGGUUCUUGUCGUUUUUACGGUUUAGAGAAGCGUGCACAAGAGUAUGAAAACGCACGAGCAGAUAGCCUUGGCCCAUACCUUUGCCCGUGUGUCGGCCACCGUACCCACCGGUUACCCUGGAAACGGUAUCGAUUUCAACCCUCAGCUAUGCAGUAGAAACCAGCGGCACACCAUGGGGGUCUCUUCGUCCCGAGUUUCGACAAGACAGCCCGUUUAAACUACCCGAUUACAGCAGCCUCCGUCUCUAUUACCGCCUUACGUUUCGUUUCGCGUGCUUCAGAAAAUCAGCCCGCCUAUAAACGUCAAAGUAGCUGAGUGGAUGGGACGUCGUAAAAUCGGCGAAAUUUUAACCAGAGCUAUCUUUUCAUCGCCGCUGAUAUCCACUUUCGCACGGCGAUUAAUUCUUUCUUGUUUACCUAUGCUAAUAUAAAAUCUCCUUUGUACAGGAUAGCAACGAUAACGCGUUUACGGUAGAACUAUGGAUGAUUCGGUCGAGAAAUAAGAA